This 253-nucleotide ribosomal RNA is filed under the name uncultured bacterium. RNAcentral's name for it is "partial 16S ribosomal RNA". It matches the Rfam family "Bacterial small subunit ribosomal RNA", at positions 524 to 776 of the family's 1533-position model. The record is from RNAcentral.
UACGUAGGGUGCAAGCGUUAAUCGGAAUUACUGGGCGUAAAGCGUGCACAGGCGGUUUUGUAAGGCAGGUGUGAAAUCCCCGGGCUCAACCUGGGAACUGCAUUUGUGACUGCACGGCUGGAGUGCGGCAGAGGGGGAUGGAAUUCCGCGUGUAGCAGUGAAAUGCGUAGAUAUGCGGAGGAACACCGAUGGCGAAGGCAAUCCCCUGGGCCUGCACUGACGCUCAUGCACGAAAGCGUGGGGAGCAAACAGG